This 135-nucleotide small RNA is filed under the name Pseudomonas borbori. The record is from RNAcentral. Lineage: Bacteria; Pseudomonadati; Pseudomonadota; Gammaproteobacteria; Pseudomonadales; Pseudomonadaceae.
CGUGCCUAGGGACUGGCACAGACUACCAAGGAUUGGGGUCAGGACAAUCGCAGGAUGCGAUUCCAUCAGGACGAUGAGCAGGGAAUACAGGGAGUAGGGACAAAAGAGUGGGCGGGUAAUACCGCCCCUUUUUUU